GAUGAACGCUGGCGGCGUGCCUAAUACAUGCAAGUCGAGCGAACAGACGAGGAGCUUGCUCCUCUGACGUUAGCGGCGGACGGGUGAGUAACACGUGGAUAACCUACCUAUAAGACUGGGAUAACUUCGGGAAACCGGAGCUAAUACCGGAUAAUAUAUUGAACCGCAUGGUUCAAUAGUGAAAGACGGUUUUGCUGUCACUUAUAGAUGGAUCCGCGUCGCAUUAGCUAGUUGGUAAGGUAACGGCUUACCAAGGCAACGAUGCGUAGCCGACCUGAGAGGGUGAUCGGCCACACUGGAACUGAGACACGGUCCAGACUCCUACGGGAGGCAGCAGUAGGGAAUCUUACGCAAUGGGCGAAAGCCUGACGGAGCAACGCCGCGUGAGUGAUGAAGGUCUUCGGAUCGUAAAACUCUGUUAUUAGGGAAGAACAAAUGUGUAAGUAACUAUGCACGUCUUGACGGUAACUAAUCAGAAAGCAACGGCUAACUACGUG
RNAcentral lists this ribosomal RNA (497 nucleotides) under uncultured bacterium. RNAcentral's name for it is "partial 16S ribosomal RNA". It matches the Rfam family "Bacterial small subunit ribosomal RNA", at positions 28 to 507 of the family's 1533-position model. The record is from RNAcentral.